Molecule: transfer RNA, 84 nt
Filed under: Elusimicrobia bacterium RIFOXYB2_FULL_49_7
Lineage: Bacteria; Pseudomonadati; Elusimicrobiota
Description: tRNA-Leu
Rfam family: tRNA
About the family: Transfer RNA (tRNA) molecules are approximately 80 nucleotides in length. Their secondary structure includes four short double-helical elements and three loops (D, anti-codon, and T loops).
Source: RNAcentral
GCCGGGAUGGCGGAACUGGCAGACGCGCAUGGCUUAGGACCAUGUAGGUGAAAACCUUUAGGAGUUCAACUCUCCUUCCCGGCA